AAAUACUGUUUAUUUACUAUUAAUAGUAUUCCAAGUAAACUUACGAUUUAUAGAAUUGAGUUAGAAUACUUUUAGAAGCACCAAGCUCUUAGUGCUUUUAGAUUUCUAACCCUUGGAUCUACUCCUUAAUUACUAAUAGCCUUUGGAUCAAAUACUAUUCCACCUAUCACCACCUACCACCGUCAUCCCAACUUCACAUCUCUCCAUCCAAUAACUAAAAAUUCAAAAAUAUCACAUUCAUGAUGCUUUUGAGAGUAUUCUAGCUCAACUCCCAUUCAUAUACAUAUAUCUAUUAAUAUCAUUGAUUGUGUAUAGCUAACAAAUGUAAUAGGAAAGGCCCUCUCCUAUACUUUACUAUAAAUCCAUCGAUAUUUAAAUAGAAAAUAAACUAGAGGGUAUAUCAUAGCCGAAUAUUUUAUAAGUUAUCCCCAUUUUAUACCCCCAUUUUGUAAGUUAUUAUUCCACAUUCACACGCUUUAUUAAAGACCAGCUAAUUUGAAGUUUCUGAAUUUGCACAAAACCUGAAGCCCUGGCUUUGUUAAUUAAUCACCAUUUUUUUUUAUCUCUUUUUGAGAUUUUUGUGCCCUAGGUAGGGUGUCUCAGGCUAAGCCCUAGCUUGGUGUAGGGUGUAAUCAUUCCACUCCGCAGAGAAUCCCUGCAAAACCAACAUAUCCCGUGUUCUCACACAGACUCAGCAUGCAGCUUCUUCCUCCCUCUCUCUCUCUCUUCUACUCUCUCACCGUUCCCUCUCUCUCUCUGCUCUCUCCUCUCUCCCUCUUCUCUCUCUCUCUCUUCUCUCUCUCGCUCCUCCAUCAUCACUAUUAUACGUCUCAGAAGUGACAACACAGCUGCAUGAUAUAAUAUGUAUAUAUAUAUUAAUAUAUAUAUAUAUAUAUAUAUAUAAUAUAUGUGCUUUGCCAUUGUUGCUUUCUUGCUUUUAGAAUUUGUUCUUGCAUUGGUGACUGUGUGUGAUUUAUGAUAUCUUAUCAUUUGAUUAUAUAUAUCUAAUUAUGAUUUUAGAGUAUAAACCUUUAGCUCAUGGAAUAGAGAACUUGGUUUGUAAUUAUUUAAAAGGCCUCAUCAUUUAUUAAAGUACUCAAUAACGUUCACAAAAUUAAACAACAAUUUUAUUUUCUCAAUGUGAUUGAUUAACUUAUUAGAGCUUGUAUCAUGCAGAAAUAAACACACAACACAUGCGCGCGCGCACACACACAACAUAUAGGAUAAUUGUCUAAAAUACUCUAGCUAAUACGUAUCUAUGAAUAUCUCAUUUUAUCCCUACUUUUUUUAUUCUAAUAUACCCCAUUAUUCCACCGUUAUUAUAAAAGUACCAUCGUAGAUUUCUCGGUGCUUAAGUUAAUUUCGGUUUUUCAACGUGGAGCUUGAUAUCUUAGCCACAGUAAAUAAAAAUUAAAAUGCCAAUAUUUGCUAACUAAGAGUACAAUAAGAAAUUGUUGGUGAGUUAGGGGGUAUAUUAGGAAAAGACCAAAAAGUGAAAAUACUGUUUGUCUUGUGCCUAGAAAAGUUAGUUGAUGGUGGGAGGGUAUAUUUGAAAGGCAAAAAUAAGUAAUUUACAGAGAUAAUAGAGUUACAUUACACAGAUUUACUCUAAGCGGUAUAUUAAAAAUAAGCUUUGGAACGUAAAAAGGGUUUUUCAUAUUAGCCUUCUAAGAAGGGUAAUCGAGAAGGUCGAACUCUUUCAGAGAAUUUAUAUAAGCAAGAAUUGCCCCCAUAUAUAUAUAUAUAUAUAUAUAUGUAUGUACACGAUAGUAAUAAUCUUUCUCAGUGUGAAUAAUUUUUUUAUGCAAUUAAAAGUUAGGAGUUUAAGUUGUGCUUCUCAAAAGUUUUGACAUCCAUAAUUUAAUAGAAUAAUAACAUAUUAAUUUUACUAACAAAGUGAGUUAUCUUAUUCCCAAAAAAUGAUUUAAAGGCCGAAUAUUAUUCAUUCUAGACAUUCGAUCACAUUUCAUAUCGGUCAGAUAUUUUAUGCUUCUUCAAUAAAAUAGAAAAGAUACAUACACUCAAGGUUUUAAGUGCAUGUCGGCACGGGUCAUAUCCACCAUGUCGUACCGUGCCAAUGAGAUACCGGCACGAUAUAGACCCCGUACCGAUGGCAUAUUUCAAAACCCUCUAUUUUUUAAACUAGUAAGUAAUUUUCUUAAUAAAGUUCGAAAGAUGUGAUAAAAAGACAUAAUAAAUAGUUAGGAUAUUUUAUUGCUAAAAAAAAUAAAUAUUUCAUACUAUUAUGUGUUGGUACACAAGAAUUUUUUUGACCGGCAUGCAUCGGCACGGCUCAGCACAUACCGUGCCGGCAAGUUUCCGGCACAACUCCGUGCCACGGCAUUUAAAUCCUUGCAUAUAUAUAUAUCUAGAAUAAGUUGUAUGUUCAUGUUCGAAUAAAGAUAUUAAAGGCAGUACUGUUAUCGGGUAAUUUAAGUUUCUAUAGAUAAAUAGUUUAUUUCAUAUUUUUUAACAUGAUAUCAAAGUCGAAGGUCAUGAACUUAAGUGUCGCCAGACUCGUUGCUUUAUUUAAUUUCUUUUCAUUUAGUUCAAGUUUACAUUAUAAGAUAUAUUACAAAAUAUCGACCUGACAUGAGAAAAAAAAUUAGAAUAUAUAUAUGAGUUGAGCCGUAAUACUAUUAAUAAUAUUUGGACUCGUUUGCCAUCGAUUUUUUACCUGUUAGAUUUUUCAUUUUAAUUUAUUCCACCAUUUAGAUCAUACUAUAUAUUCAACUAACCAAUCACUCAAUUUUAGGAAGACUACCACUAAAUUCUAGGGGACCACUAUUAUCUUAACUCUAUAAUUUUUCAUUCAAAGGUUAAACACUCGAUAGCAAAAGAGCCCAAAUACUAUUAAAUAUUCCAGCCUAAUUAUAUAUAUAUAUAUAGAGUCCGGCUAUGGUGCUUGUAAAAGUACUAACUACUUGGUGCUUGUAAGUUUUUAACCGUUAGAUCUAUGUCUUUGAUCAUUUUCAACCGUUAGAUUAUACUAUCCAACCAACUACCCACUCAACCCUAGGGGCCCCACAUCAUUCUCACCGUACAUCCCUUAAUCCAAGAGCCGAAAACUUACAAGUAUCAAUGACUUGGUACUUUUAAAAGCAUAGGAGCUCAAUUCUAUAUAUAUAUAUAUAUAUAUAUAUAUAUAUAUAUAAAAUAAAAUUUUAAAGAAAAACAAUUAUAUUCACAAAGCAUAUAUAUGGAUGCACCAGGUGCAGGAAAUAAUUUCUUCUGUGCUUGUUCGAGUACACUUAUUCCUGCUGUAAAACUUGCUGUUUCUUUUNNNNNNNNNNNNNNNNNNNNNNNNNCGAGAGAGAUCGAUGCACAGCCCGCCGGGCAAGUUUGUCCGGGCACAGUCGGGUCGAUGUUAUGACUGCGCGGGCCGUGUGUGGGUUGGGGCUGGGCAGACUUCCUGCCAACGGCAUUAAAUCCUUGCAUAAAUAUAUCUAAUACAUGAUUUCAUGUUCGACAAUAAAAGAUAUAAAGGCAACUGUAUCACGGUAAUUAAGUUGCUAUAGAUAAAAUAUAUUUUCAUAUUUUAACAGAUAUCAAUCGAAGGCAUGUAAACUUAAUCGCCAGACUCGUUGCUUUAUUUAAUUUCUUUCAUGUGUAGCUCAAGUUACAUAUAAAUAUAUACAAAAUAAUCAGACCUGAAUGAGAAAAAAAUUAGAAUAAUAUAUGAGUGACCGUAAAAGCUAUAAUAAUAUUGGACUCGUUCCAUCGAUUUUUACGUCUGUAAUUUUUCAUUUUAAAUAUCCAACCAUUAGAUCUAUACAAUAUUUAACUAACCCAAUCACUCAUAGGAAGACUACCAACUAAAUUCAGGGACCACUAUUAUCUAACUCUAAUAAUUUGUUCAUCAAAUUAAACACUCGAUACGGCCAAAAGAGCCCCAAAAUAACUUAAAAAUUCCACCUAAUUAUAUAUAAUAUAUAGAUCCGCUAGGUCUGAAAAGUACUAACUACUUGGGCUUUAAGUUUUAACCCGUAGAUCUAUGUCUAUCUGAACAUUUUCAACGUUGAUAUACUAUCCCAACCACUACCGUCCACAACCUAUGGGCCCCACAUCAUCUCACCGUAACAUCCCAUUAUCCAAGACCGAAAACACAAUAGCAAUACUGGUACUUUAAAACAUAGGAGAAUCAUCAUAUAAAUAUAUAAUUAAUAUAAUAUAAAAAAAAAAAAAAAAAAAAAAAAAAAAAAAAAAAAAAAAAAAAAAAAAAAAAAAAAAAAAAAAAUUAAUAUAUAAAAUAAAAUAAAGAAAAACAAUUAUAUUCAACAAAAGGCAUAAAUGAUCACCAGGUGCACGGAAAAUAAUUUCUUCUUGCUUGUCUCGUUGUUACACAUUAUUCCUGCUGUAAAACUGCUGUCAUUUUAACAUUCGCUGCAUUGGACACCUGCUCAACUACCAACCCCCAUAAGGUUUAGUUUGUUCAUCACAUAACGAAUUGAUGGUGUAUUCUAUAAUUGUAUGAGGGCCUCCACACACAACGCAUUUGAAUUCAAUCUUUCCUGUAUGAAUAAGCUAUUUGGCCCUGGAAUGUACUCUAAUAAAAGAACAAAAGUCAAAUUCCAAAAAUGCUUAUAUAUCAGUAUAUGUGUAUUAAAUGCUACCUUCUUUUUAAUUUUAUAUAUAUAUAUAAUAUAAUAUAAUAUAAAUAAUAUAUAAUAUAUAAUAUAUAGUUAAGUUAACGUUAAAUACACUCAACGGAAUAUUAAUAACUAUAUAAUAUAUAAAUUGUAUAAUUAAUAUUUAAAUAUAAUAUAAAAAUUAAAUUAAAAAUAAUUCAAUUAUAUAAUACUAAUAGUAAAUAUAGUAUACUAACUCAAAUUUAAAUAGUUGUUUGCAACCAAUAAUUAUAUAGCUUAUUUAUUUAUAAAAUUAUAUAAGUGUAGAUAUAAUAUAUGUUGAAUAUUUUUCUAUAUCUAAUCCUGAUAAUUCCAAAAAUUUACUAUAAUUUUAAAACUAAAAAAAUAUCAAAAUAAAAAGUUAUUAUAACAAUAAAAUAUUAAUAUAUAGAAUAAGAUAAUAUACUAAAUAAGUUAUUGCCAAAAAAAGAUAUUGAAUCGAUAAAAAAUAUUAAUAAAAAAAUAAAAUAUUGAUAGUCGAGAGAAAAAGAGAAUUAAAAGUUUAUGUCAUACAAUUAUUUAUUUAUUAAGGAAAAAGAGGAAUUGAAAUGCGUUUAUCUACAUACCAAAUAUUAAAAUACUUCUUUUAUAUAUAAUAUAAAAAUAUACAUAUAUAGAGAGAAAUAGCUACUAUACUCUUAUAAUAUAGAGUUAUUCGUGUUCAUGAAAUUGUUUUGAUGAUGAUAAUUCCUAUUGACAACCACCACCGUUAAAAGAUCUAGAGCAUUGAAACUUAAAAAAAAAUAAAUUUAUAACUUUUAAAUUAUAUAACAAUCUACAAUGGGCAUAAAAUACUAAACAAAAUGAACAACUUCCAUGAUCAGAUCUCAAUCAAAUCGAGUAUUUAAUGCUUAUUUAGAUAGUAAAAUAAAAUUCUAAUAAAAAAUUCAACGUAUUUGACUUCUUUACCAAUCCGUAAAACUAAAGCAAAAUUGAUAUCGGACGUUAAAAUUGCCACUUUGAACUCUAUGACUACGUAAAUAAAUAAUAUCGAAAAAAUAAAAUUUGAUUCAGACGCUUUCAAUGCCUAAAUAUUUAACGGCUUGGAUUACGAUUCAUAAACUUAUCAAUCGGAAACGAAACAUAGAGUAUGAGAAGGCGAUCAUAUACUCAUAAGAAUACAGUAGCAAACUCUCUCUCUCUCUCUCUCUCUCUCUCUCUCUAUAUAUAUAUAUAGCAAGAUGUCAUGUUUGAAAUUUAUUAACUUAGCAAUAAUGUUUAUACUUAGAUUUGUCAAAAAUUAAGUAAAUCUCUGCUUAUGCUGAUUUGGAAUAUUCUUUGAUAGAAAAUUAUGUUUGGAACGAACUUAAAAGUUAAAACACCUGCUUUUUAUUUUACAAAGAAAAGAUAAAAGGAGAUUUUACUGGUUAAUUAAACGAUAUAUGAGACGUACUAUGAUCUCAUGCAUGAAACUAACAAGGCUAGCUAAAUAGAAGUGGCUUUAAUAUCAUAUUGUUUAGAAGUUAAUUUUAUAGCAAAUUAAUGAUUUUCUUAUCGAAUUUUUGCUUUCUUAAGUGGUACCUACCCGUUAUAUUAAUUGAUCUUUUUGUUUUCUAGUGAUGAAUUAUUCAUAAAUAUUUUUAUGGGAAAGAAUUUUCUGCUCGAGCAAUAUUAUGCUUAUAAAUAAAUUCUAUAUUAUUGUACAAAUAUUCGAAUGCAACAACAGUAAAUUUUCAAGAGAAAUGUGGAUCACAAUAGAAUAGAUAUGAUUCACAAAAACAAUAAAAAAAAAAAUCCAAGUUGCUACUAGAUAAUAUACUUUUUCAUGUAAGCUCCUAUGCUUUUUAAAAGUACAAAAUUAUUAAUCCUUGUAGAUUUUUAGUCCUUAAACGAAGAAAAAAAAUAUACAGUAAUAUAUAUAUAUAAAUUGAGCUCUUAUAUUUUUAAAAGUAUCAAAUUAUUAAUAUUUGUAGAUUUUCAACCUUUGGACGAAGGGAUGUGAUAAUUUAUUAUUAUUAUUAUUAUUAUUUAGAGAACUCUUCGUAUAAUUUUUUUUGAAAAUAAACUUAGCUGAAAAUGUCAAUUAAUUAGAAUUCGAAUUUGAGAUCUGAAAUAUCAACCAUAUCAAAUAUUUUCUCACUUGUACUUGUAAAAAUCGGUUGAUAAUUUAUUUAUUUAUUAUUAUAGUGCGAUGGGAUGGUUUAGAGUUGAGGCAUCCCAUCUCUGUCAUGACUCAUGAGUUACUCACGUAUUGUUACACAGAUGUAUAUUAUAUGUAGGAUUCUCUCUCUUUCUCCCUAGGUUGUAUAACUUAACGGUCACGUCGUUUCCUUUAUAUUUGUUUGGAAAAACUUCAAACACCUUUCUUGUUAUUUCACUUUUUCUUAGUUUAGUAUAUGUGAUUUAAAGUAUACCAAGUUAGUAUCCUGUAAUUUUAUACUUUUUCAAUUUAGUAUCCUGUAGUUUAAAGUGUAUCAAGUUAGUACCAUGUGGUUUCGCACUUUCUCACUUUAGUAUUCUGUGAUUUAAUAUUUUAUUAAGAGAAAAAUAAAACCACAUGCUACUAACUUGAUACAAAAAUAAAAUCACAGGGUACUAAUAUGAUACAAAAAUAAAACAACAGAAUAUUAACUUGAUACACUUUAAACUAUAGGGUACUAAAGCGAGAAAGUGCGUUUUUUACCACAGGGUACUAACUUGAUACACUUUAAACCACAGGGUACUAAAAUAAAAAGUGCGAAGCCACAGGGUACUAAAAUAAUAUUUCUCUUAAAUUAAAUCUUGUACCUAAUUGCAUACAUUCACUACAACAAUUUCAUUCUAUUACAUCAAUUUGAUUGCAUCGAAAAUUAAAUUAUUGCAAUAUAUGAUUAUCGCAAUAAUUUGUGUUGUUAUAAUAAUACACAUUAUAUUAUUUAGCCAUUUAUUGCCAUAAGAUUGAUUGCAAUGAUUUGCAACUAUACUAUCAGUUGCAAAAAUUUAUUAUCACAGCUAAUAAUUUCCUUCUUUUUUUUUUUGAGAAAAACAACUAAUAAUUUUCAAUUGCAAUAAUAUUUAUUGUUGUAAAAGAAUGAAUUUCUAGUAGCAAUUUUUUAUUACAUUUUAAGCUUUCACAUAUGCAAACCUUCGAAAUUAAUUAAGAUGAAAGGCGCACUAACAAGCUGCUAAGUAAAAGUUAAACAUUCAUUCUAAUUGUGUCUGACCAUUUCUAGUAAAUGAAUUGGAUCUUUGCAUUACGCCCAAACGUUACUACAAAUAGUAACAAAAUGAAAAAGUAACAUACACAACGGGUAAAAUUCAAAAUUACGUAACGGUGUUUCAUAGACUUUCAACGAAACUAAAAUCCUGUUGCAUAUGAUACCAAUUCAGAGCCUCUGCUCUGAUACCAUGUAUAUGAAAUAACUAUUAUUCUCCGGCUAUGCAAGUACAUAAAUGCAUAUAUAGGUAACAAUACAAUGUAUACAAAUUUGUCCACAAAUUUUUUUUUUUUUUUUUUUUUUUUGAGAGAGACAGGUAGCACGCUACCCGUUUUGUUUAUUUCAUUUAGAAAUAAACUUAGCUAGAAAUGUGAAUCAACUAGGAUUCGAACUUGGGUCUCGGGUACCAACCACCAAGCCCUUUGCCACUUGCUCUAGGGACAGUCGGUAAAAUUGUCCACAAAAUUAUGUUAAGCAAAUACGUACUAUAUUAUGUGCACCCACAAACAAAACACACUCGUUUCUUUAAGUUUCGGGCCGGAUCUUGAGAGCCCAAAAUCAUACCUAAAUUUUUAAGCCCGAAUAUGCCAAAGCCCGACCCGGCACGGCAUGGAUCGAUUUGGCAUGGAGCCCGAUUAGAAGGAGGGGUGAAAGUGGUUAGGACAAACUCCGAUCAGAUUCGACACCAGGUUCAAUAGGAUGUAAGUAUGAAUGUCAAAAUUUAGCAAUCGACACAUAUUUGUAUCCGAAGAGAAUUUUUUAAAAAUUGAUGCGAAUAUUUAUAGUUUCUUAAAAAUCCGACCGUAAUCAAUUGUUUUCAUUCCUUAGAGCUAGGAGGGAUGUUAAUAAAUAGUGUAGGGAGAUGAAUGUAGUUUUUCAUUGGGUUCUUCGUUUAUUUUACUAUAAGUCUCAAAUUAAAAUUGUACUUAUAUUCGUUAAAAUAUUAAAUAUUAUUGAGUAAAAUAUAGGUAUAUGAAGUUUGAAUAAGAGUGCGAGCCUUUAUUGCAUUGCGUGUGCAUAUGAGUAUUGGUUAUUAUCUGAAUAAUAUCGGAAUAUAAAUCUGACUCAUAUAUAAAUCUGAAUCCGCAUUCAGUAUAUAUGGUAAUGAAAAUUUAGCAUCCGAUACAAAUCCGCAUUCGAAUUCGAAUAUAUGAAUGCUGAUAUGGUUUUGUCAAAGAUAAGACCGUAUUCGACUGCUUUCACCCCUAAUUAGAAGUCAUGAGCUACAUGCCGCGACAGACCCGUUUUCUGAAUAGGUUGGCCCAUCGCGACCCGCGGCCCAGACCAACUGGGCCGUGUCGUGCCACGUGGGAAUAUGAGCCCACCAAAUUUUCUCUAUUUGAAAAUUUUAAAAAAUUUGUUCAUCUUAUUUUUAACCUUUUAAUAUUAUUAUUUGUUCAGUAAAUAGAUUUUAGAUCGUUAUGUAAACAGAGUUAAGCGCUGCUACACGGUAAUCUCACUUUGAUGAAGAGGAACUAAUUUGUUAGAUUUUUAUGUAUUUAGUGAGAAAUUUGAUGUUACCAAUAGGAAUUGUUUGCAGUCACUUUUUUUUUUUUUUUUGUUGAUUCAUGCAUACCAAAAGAGAGUUUUGGGUUAAUAUAUUUUCUAAAAUUUUUAUAUUUUAUCCCCCCUUGAAUGUAGACACAAGUGUGAGUUAUUACAACUGCAGCAUUUCACACAUUGUUAUCUCCUUUGUGGUGCAUUCAAAGCUAUGGAGGAUACUUUGAGUUUGUUGGUUGUGUUUGCGUCGUCAAUCGGAUUAGUCGGAUCAAUUCAAGAUUAUAUCCAAAGAGGUAGAAUUUGUAGGCCACGAUGGUUAAUAUCUAUAUCUAGGCCUAUUUCUUAUUUUUUGAAUAAUAUAGUAUCAGAGUCAGUUUUAAACCCUUCAAUUCUGUCAGGUCGUGCGUUCAAUUUUCAUUUUUGACAUUUAACGGGUUUCACGUGUCUUUCAUAUUUAUCAUACACGUGAGUGGGAUUAUUAAUAUAUAUUUUGAUAAUUCUAAACCUCUUUGUUUAGGGUAAGUUCUUAUCUUCUAACUUAUCUAUCAAAUCCACGUGUCUUUCAUAUUUAUCAUGCACGUGAGUGAGGGUGUUAAUAUAUAUUUCUAGACCCGUGUCCUACAAGAUCGAUCUUUUGGGUAAUGUGAGUGAUCUUCUUUUACUAAUUUUGUUUACGAUCUUGGGCAUCAGUAUGUAUUUAGUUUUGGUAAUUUUACGCAUCAUACAGCUGCAUCAGUUGAAAGACAGGGAACCAGAUUGGUCCUUGUUAGUACAUGGUUAGACAUUCAAAAAGUCGUAGUUCUAUUCACCCAUGAAUUCAAACACAAAUCACAUCCGCGCGUAUUAUUCACCGUGUUCAACCACCGGUCAUGAAGUCGGAAAAAAAAAAAAAAAAGCGAAAGAAGAGCAGGUUAUAGGAAAAGGUCAUAAACUGCGAAAUCGAGUUCUGAACAGGACUUGGUAAGUACAGCUGAUCAAUUUCUGCAUGACUGCAGCUCAUACCUGCCGAAAGUGGUGGACAGCUUCAGCAUGUGGUUUAUCGUCGCAAUCCACUUCUUGUACAGCAUGUAGUCGUCGAGUUUGAGCUCAAUCUUUCCUCUGCUCGUCGUCAUGUCGACGGCGUAAGAUGCAUCUUCUUCCUGCCUCGGCUUUUCUGCGCUGCUGGUCUGUAAGUCGUGGACAAUACCUGUUUUUCACUCACAAUUUUAGCCCCAGAUUUUCCGCAGAAAAAUUGAAGACGAAAUUGGAAUGCGAGUUUUCAGCUUACUCUCUUCCGCAGCGGAAAAUGCCGUCAGCAUGCUGAUCUUUUUGAUCUUCAAGAUGAUUUUUCCGUCUCCGUUUAGGACUAUCGAGACGAAUCGCAAUCUGCACUUGCCUGUUCAUUAAACAAGACCAAACUGAGAUGUUGUAAGCUGCAAGGAAAACAAUUGCAAUUGCCGUCCGAUCGCGCAUUUACCGUCAGGUGUAGUGACGCGGAUUUCGUCGCCCUUCGCCAGCGAUGCCCUGCACCUUCCGAAAUCGAAGUCGAAUUCAUCGUACAAAAGCGUCGGCGAACUUUCUCUUAUUUUCUCCCUGUGGCCUGUCCUUCCUCUCAGUAUCGCCGCGCCUCGCAGCGCUGACAAAUUUCAGAACAAUAAUCACUGCUGUUCUUACAUUCUUUAGAGUCUAAAUUUUAACAAUUUAGUCUCGAAGUUCAUUCGAAUUUUCGUGAUAAUGUCGGCAUUGCGCUAAAUUGUUGCAGGGGCUAAAGAGAGAGAGAGAAAGAAAGAAAGAGCAUUACAUGUUGCUGCAGCAGCAGUGAGGGUAAUGAUGUUGUUCGCAUCGGUGGCGGUCAUGGCGGCGUUUACAGCGGAAUUGAGCUGCUCUCGUUUCGCGCCUGUGGCUUCUGCUACGUGCGCGCACUGCGCUGCGACCAACGCCGCUGCUGACGCGACUGCAGUCUCUUUUAGGGAGCUCGGUUGGCCCGGUUCAGCAUUCUCUGCCGCAAUCGCCGCGAGAGCAGCUGCGAUCCCUGCGACAGAUACAGCUGCAUGCACCUCAGCUCUCCGCAGCCGCUCCGUCUCUUUCCUCUUCUGCUUCAUUUCCGUCACCCAUUUCUUUAUCGAGAUGCCAUUCCAAUGCGUGAUCUUAAAUCGAUUUACCCAUUUCUUUCGUAAGCAAAGAUCGUAAUCCAGCUCCGGAUGAAUCGCCUUUUGUAGCCAUAUCCACGACUGAACGAAAAAAAGAAGAAGAAGAUGAUGAAAAGUUACAGCUGAUCAGUUCUCAGAGAAACAGUUUUUUCAGAAUUCGAAUUCGCUUCCGUCACCUUUAGAUCAUCGAACUUCCACUGCGGAGUCGACUUCGCCUCUGCAUCAUCCACCGUAAAGCUGUGAUUGCUUCUCUGCGAAUUCGAAGAGAUUAUCGGCUUAAAUUUCAACACACUCAUGGCUUGUUUUCUUUAUUCUGAUACGUAAAAUCGGUGCAUGCAUGCAAGGCUAGUUUUUCUUACUGCUAAAGGAGCUGCUCUGUCGCAUUCGAACUCCGCGAUUGAUUUCUGAUCCGUCAGCGUCAGCAUCGAGCAAUCCCGCGCUUUCGGGUGGAAAACUUGGAUAGCCGAGCUGCACCACGAAUUCGAGAGCAGAUCUGUCGGUUCGGGGGAUGCUUCGCGGACCGCUAACUUCAUGUCACAAUCCAUUUUCUACAGAGAGAGAGAGAGAGAGAGAGAGAGAGUGAGAGAGAGGGUACUCUCUUUGUUUCUCUUGCAAAAUUUUCAAUUGUAGUGCAAUGAGUCCUAGAUACAUUUUAUACUCAUGCAUGAACCUCUCUUUGGUGUUAAUAGUGUUAUUUACAGCUUUAAUAUUAGAGCUAACUUAUAGAUUCAAAACCACUUUAACCUAACUUAUUAGAUUCAAAAGCCCUAAAAGGAAAAGGGUUUAAGAGAAUCAAAGUGAAUGGAUCUAUGUAUAUAAUUAAGCCAUUAAAUAUGCCACUAAAAAGUAGAUAAGUGGGAGUAGAUCAUUACCACCACCAAUGCUUUGAGUGAAAAUAGAGAAAUUAAGAAGGGAAUCACAAUGGAGUAGUACCCUAUGAGAAAUGUGUGGAGGACCCCCUCAACUUUAAUUGAACUCUAAUUUUGUUAAAAACGCGAUUAAAGCUAUUGAAUCCGAUGGAAUCGUCUGCUAAGUUGUUUGACUAAAAUUACUCAAUUCUGAAAAAUCAAAAGUUAAGGGAUGUCAUUCGAAAGUAUUUUACGUUGGUGGGUCUAUUUCAAAAUGGCCUAUAGUUGGGGGGUCUCCUCACAAUUUAAACAUACAUAGGAUGCUAAAACAAGUCAUUUUGAUUGGUGAGAAAAGUGGGGGCAAAAAAUGAGCCACUACACGUGCUAACCAUGAAUGUAACUUUGAUUAAAAUUUAAAGGGGUUACAAAUGGCUUUUCUUUAUGGUUAGGGGUGUAGUGUUCCACUACUUUCACAUCUAGCAAUGGAGAAUUUUUUUUAAAAAAAAAGCAAUAGAGAAUAAUUUUAAAAAAAAGAAAAAUAAAAAGGAAAUGUGAUGUACUUUCCAAAUCUCGUGGCCAAACGUGCAUUAAUUCCUGGGUGUUGCUAUGAAAACCCCAUGACAAGAGUAAUUUAUGUUUCACUUUUGUAUGUUUGUAAAUCUUGCUUAAUUUUGAGGGAUUCUUUGUAAAUAUUAGUAAUGGAGUAGGGAAUGAUCAAUUUAUAGAUUUUGAUAUUAGCCAAAUUAAUAUACAUAGGUAGCAUUAUUGAAGUGUCUUUUCAAGGAUUAUUAUGGGUUUAUUCGCAGUUAAUUAAUGUAACAGAGUGUUAGGCAAUUAGAAAAUUCAGGAGGUUCUACUAAAGUAUGAAGUAGAAAUGUGAUUUGGAGUAGAAAUUUCAAUUUGCACCUUUUAUUUUUGUUGUAGAAAGGCCAGCUAGCUAGUAAAAAGAUUCUGUAUAGUUUUUCUAACAACUCUAUUCAAACAACACUUUAUCAAACAACACUACACUCUACAGUAAGACCAAACAUAUCCAAAAUAUAAAACAAAUCAAUAAAGAAAACAUAUAUUAGUAGACAAAACAUAUAAUGAAACAACAGCCGAGUUGUAACAGAGCAUUGGAUAUCAGUAGAUAAUAUUCCGAGAGCUUCUAUCGUAGCGUGAAAAUAGAGAUGUUAUUUGAGGUCCACAAGUAGAAGUUUUUAAUUUGCGGCGUUUGCUUUAACUAUUAAGAAGAAUUUUGUCUAAUUUUUCUUCUGAUAGCUCUAUUCAAGCAACACUUCAUCAAAUAGCACUACACUCUACAAUAGGGCCAAACAUGUCCAGAAUAUGAAACAAUGUAGCUGAACAGUGCGAUCACAUUACGUUUGAUCAAUGGAGAAAACAUAUAAUGGAACAAUAGCCAAGUUGUAAUUUUUAAACCAAGAAGAUAAUGUUUGGCUAUCAUUAGUUGCAACUGCUUUUGAUGUUGAGUUUUAGUGUGUCUCAAGGAAGAUUAAGGGGGAGUGAGCUGUUCCACAUUUUCUUAAUCCCUCACUUCACACACAAAGUAUACAAAGCAAUCUUUAUAAUAAGGGUGGAAUAAGUAGGGCUAGUUGAGCAACUCUCAUCUAGGCUCUUAAAGAAGUUCUAAAUCAUUUUAUAGAUGUUCUCAUGGGUCCUUUUGAACACCUUUAGAGCAAUGGUGAGUGUUGAAGCUUUUUGAUGUAAUAUUCCAACUAGAGUUGGGUUGUUUCUUAAAGUGCAUUGAAUGGUUGAUGCCUCUUAAUCAUUAUGCAUGCUAGUUUUAAAGAUUUAUUAAUUCUCUAAUCUUAUCUAUAAGUGCAUCAUGAGCCUUUAGAAACUUGAAGGGGACAUCAUAGCAAAGGGCUUUAUUGGUGGCUUGUAGUAUACCAAAAUGCUUUGCACAAGCACUGGCACACCUAAAAAGUGGGGUCCUAAAAAGUUGUUUGGAUACUUUGUCGAUCUAAUUAAACUUUUGGAAACUUAAUCUGUCGGCGCUUCAUUUAGAAUCAAGUGGGAGUUGUUGGUUAUUUUUAUUGGCUAAAAUAAGUACAACUUUUAAUAAGUUGAGUUGGUCGGCUCAAUAAGUUGAGUGAGAUUGUAGCCUAUAAUAUGACUCAGAUCCAAUUUUCCAACUCUUCAUACUAUAUGAGAAAGCUCAAUAUAAUGCGGUGGGCGAGGUGAUAUCGUGAGUUCACUCUGUACGCAAACUAGAAAGUGCAUGAAAAUUUCAAUUUAUUAAGAAUUUUUUUUGGCAUUUUCAUUACUACGAAUGUGGCUCCAAACAGAGCAAAAUCUCUGGCAUUUUCUGUUCUUCCCAUAGUUUUUUGAGUUGUGUUGGAAUUGAAACUUGGCUCGAGAAGAGAUGGCCCGGUCGGCUCUGUUCUUCUUUUUAGCAAUGCUUCUAGAUCCAUGCACAUAUACAUAGAGGAUCGAACUCGUGACCUCUUCUUUGCAGGUCAAUAAUUGCAUGUAUUAUGUUUUAUUGGCCCAAUAACACUUCGUGAUUGGCCCAUAAUAAAGUAAUGAUGUGGCCCAUUAUAAAAGCCGAUAAAUUGGCCCCUUAACUAAAGGCUCUUCAAAAGACUAGUUGGAAUUGUUUGACUCAUCUAAUGCUAAAAGGUUCAAAGGGUUGGCAACCAAUAGCAUGUACAUACCUUCAAAACAUUUCAAUAGACUAAAUAAUUAUCAAACUUCGAAAAAGUUGGAUUAUUAUCUGUACAACAGCAUAUAUUUUUUCUAUUCGUGCUUUAUCAUCAACACGUAACAUAUUUUCUAUCGCCAACUUCCUGGACGGAGCCUAAAUGUGCUGGCCCCUUGCAUAGUAUAAUUGGGUUAGUUAAUAGAAGUACAAAAUGCAUGUCAAAUUUCUUCAAAUCCAUGAUUAGCAGAGAUAUUGCUUCUUCGUUUUCUAUAUGAACCCAAGAAAUUACCAUAUUGAACUGAAUAAAUGCAAUCAAUCUUCAUGAUAUCUAACAGCGAGUAUUUCUAAAAAAUUCCUACUUACAGCGGAUUUAAUCAUUGCUAAGGCUCUAGAAUUUAUAAUAAUUUCUAGCAUCAUGAUAAAUGAUACUGAUAGAAGAAUAAUUGCCAAACUUUAAGAAUAUCUACAAAAGAAACUUAAUUUCCCAUGGCUCAAGGUGUCAAAUGGUCUCAAUUAAGUUCUCUCCAUUGUUCAUGAAUCUAUAUUUCGACCAUCCGUACAGAACUAUAAGCUGUUUGAGUAAUACUGUAGAAAAAAAAAAAGAAAGUAAGGAAGAAUAAAAAAAAACCCCUUCACCGAGCAUAUUUUGACUUGAAUCUUAUAUACUAUACUAUAUAUAUAUAUAUAUUUAAAUUCCUAGUGUAAGAAAGCAAGAUUUUUUUAUUUGUCAAACAUUCUAAUACAAAUUAUAAUUGCUGAAAAUAGAAGCAGAAGUUGUCUAAAUUUUCAAUAUCUAUCCAUCCUUACUAACCUAGAUUUUUAUUCUCGUGUGCGCGCGCACGCACACACAUAUAUAUGUAUAGAGAGAGAGAGAGAGAGCGCGCUAGACUUGUGUUCUUUUAGAAAAACUGUGGCUUCUGUGCUAUUAAAUCAUUUAUGAUGUUGUGACUUUCGAAUUAACGAACGGCUCAGUUAGACUUAAUUUAGAGUAUACUAUUUAAAGUAUCUAAGAAAUAAGUUUCGUAAUUUUUUUUAUAUGAUUUUCCUAGUGAUCGACGGGCCGAAAAUCAAUAAUUUUUACAAUUCUGGUGAGCCGUUUCUAAGUUUAACGAUGUAAAUAUAUCCAAAUCAUGUCAAAAUUCGAUAGAAAAUUUUUUAUACUAUAUAAAACAAGAUCAAUUGAUCUAAAAUUUACUGCCAUAUCAUCAAUUUUUAUAAGAUUUUUAUUUUCAACCAUUGAUUUUGAGCUCUUUUGAUCAUUCGGUAAAUAAUAUAGAAAAUUUAUAAAAUUUAUUUUUUAGGCAUAUAUUUCAAAUGCUCUAGAUCAAGUCUAGCAAAGCCCAUUGUACAAUAAUUCCAAAAUUUUAUUGUUAUAUCAUAACUUUUUAUGAGAUUUUUAUUUUCAACCGUUGAUGUUUAGUCUUUUCGAUCACUAGGUAGAUGACAUCGAAAACUGCAAAAUUUAUUUUCUAGAUAGUUCAAAUAUGCUAAAUCAAUUCUAAUGGAGUUGAUCGUCAAUUCGAACAUUACAUCAUCGAAAACGGCUUAGGAGCACAGAGGCCUCCGUACUCCUAAUAGCACACAAGACCUACUAUCUAUAUAUAUAUAGUCCGGCUACAAUAUUAUCGAUAGCACCAAGCACUUGGUGCUAUCAAGUUUUCUGCCAUUAGAUUAACCCCUUUGACCAUUUUCAUCCGUUAAAUCAUACUAUUCAACCAACCACUCACUCAAUCAUAAAGGAUCACUAUCAUCUUAACCGCACAUCCUUUUAUCUAACGGCUGAAACGCAAUAACACCAAACGCUUGGUAUUAUUGAUGCUAAUACAAUAGCAUAAUUCAUAUAUAAAUAUAUAGGCCGUGGCUAUUACACUAUUAUGAGUAUUGGAGCCCUCGUACUCAUAAGUUAUUUUCGAUGAUGGAGCUUCCGAAUCGAUGAUUCACUCCGUUAAAUAUGAUCUAGAGUAUUUGAAACUUCUAAAAAAUAAAUUUCGUAAAUUUUCGAAAUCAUAAUAAAGUCCAUCAAGCGGGCAUAAAAUGAACGAUUAAAAUCGAACGACGUCCUAAAAAAGGAUGAUCGGAUCCUUCAAUUCAAGAUCGGAGCUAUUGAUCUUUAUCUAGGUAGUGAAUAGAAUUUUCUAUCAAAAAUUCAACAAAUUCUGAUUCUUUUACACCGUUAAACUAGCAAGUAUCCCAUACCGGCCAUUAAAAAUUAUCAAAUUUGUAACCUCUUGAUCGUAAGGUAAAUGAUGUCGAAAAAUUAUAAAAUUUGAUUUCUAGAAGUUUUAAAUGCUAUUGAUAGCAAAACGCUCUUUUUGCUAUCAAGUUUUUAACCCUUGGAUGAGAAAUUGUAGGGUUAGGAUGAUAUUAGUCAGUUAGAGUUGAGUGGUCCCCCUAGGGUUAAGUGGUCCCCACUGGUUUAUAGUAUUUAAUCCAAUGAUUAGAAAUGAUAAAAAGAGUUGAUCCAAAGGCUAAAAACUUGAUAGCAAAAAUAACGUUUUGCUAUCAAUAGUAUUCUAGCCAUAGGGCUACUAUACAAUUAUGAGUAUUGGGCCCCUCGUACUCAUAAAUUGUUUUCGAUGAUGGAGCUUCCGAAUCGACGAUCCACUCGGUUAAAUAUAAUCUAGAGUAUUUCAAACUUCUAGAAAAUAAAUUUUGUAAUUUUUCGAAAUCAUAAUAAUGUCCAUCAAGCGGGCAUAAAAUGAACGGUCAAAAUCGAACGACGUUUUAAAAAUGGAUGAUCGGAUCCUUUAAUUUAAGAUCGGAGUUAUUGAUCUUUAUAUAGGUAGUGAAUAGAAUUUUCUAUCAAAAAUUCAAUCUAUUUGGAUUCUUUUGCACCGUAAAACUAGCAAGUAUUCCAUACCGGCCGUUAAAAAUUGCCAAUUUUGUGAGCUUUUGAUCGUAAGGUAAAUGAUGUCUAAAAAUUAUGAAAUUUGAUUUUUAGAAGUUUUAAAUGCUCUAUAAAAUGUUUAACGGUAUGGAUCGUCGAUUCNNNNNNNNNNNNNNNNNNNNNNNNNAAGAAUAGUGAGUAGUUAUAAAUAGAAAAUAAUUAUAUUGCCUAUUAUAUUACAUUUGAAUUUUAAAAUUUUAAAUUUAAAUAUAUAACUUUUAAAUUUCAAAAUUUUAAAAUUUAAAUUUAGAUUUUUAAAUAUCAAAUUCGAAAAUUCAAAGUUCAAAAUAUUAAAUUUUAAAUUUUAAAAUUAAAUCUCAAUUUAAAUAUAUAAAAUAUCAAUUUUAAAUUUAAAAAAUUUAAAAUAUCAAUUUAAAAUUAAAAUUAUAAAAUUUUAAUUUUAAGAUUGCAAAUUAUAGAUUUUUAAAAUUUAUAAUUAAAAUUUAAAAUUUUUAAAAAUUAAAUAAGAUUAGAAACAGUUGUUCCCAUCCCUAUUCCCACACAAGGAUAGAAUAACUAUCCCACCCCUUAGCGGGUUAUCCUGAGAUAACAUGAGAUAACCCGUUAAGGGGUGGGAUAGUUAUCCCGGCCCCUUUUUUUGUGUUUGGGUAUAAGGCUCCUUAUUCCCCCUCUUAUCCCCAACCAAAUACCCUCAGAGUAAAUUGCAAAUAUAUUACUACAAAGUUCAACUUUCAUAUAUUGUCUUUGUAAAAGUCCUAAUAUAUAUUUUCAAAUAUAUCCUCCGAUUUGUUACCGUUAAAACACCAUUUAUUUCAUAAGUAAAAUAAUUUUUUUGCCAUCACAAAUAUGUCACUCCAAAAGUCCCAACUAUUAAUUGAAGAAGGGGUAAAAAGAUUAAUUCAUCUCAUUAACUAACUAGGGUUAAAUAUUUUAUCUAUGGUUAACCAAUUUCUUUCUAACAGAUCCUAACAGUAUGGAUAUAUUUAAAAAUAUCAGAACUUUUGUAAAAACAAUAUAUGAUAGUUAAAUUUUGUAGAGAUAUGUUUGUAAUUCACUAUGUUUGUAAGAAUCGGUAUAAAAUUAACCCUAAAGAAUAAUAAGUGAGAAGUAUUUGGUGUAGAUCCGGAAUAAUUCUUUGUAAAUAGCCAAUUAAUCAUUCUCAGAUGAUGUAUUAGCAGCACAUCUUUGAUGCAGUCAUCGAGUCUCUCGAUAGACUUUUCAAAAAUACUCUUUUUGAAAAAAAAUAGUUAUUUAGAAAAUAAGCAGUUUACAGAAUUUCAAUUUUUUUUUUUUUUACUUCUUAUAUUUGGUUGUGUAUAAAAUAUUAGAUAAUAAAAAA
This 19073-nucleotide long non-coding RNA is filed under the name Ananas comosus (pineapple). RNAcentral's name for it is "long non-coding RNA (ACOM_LNC044859)". The record is from RNAcentral. Lineage: Eukaryota; Viridiplantae; Streptophyta; Magnoliopsida; Poales; Bromeliaceae.